This 459-nucleotide ribosomal RNA is filed under the name uncultured bacterium. Its description in RNAcentral is "partial 16S ribosomal RNA". It matches the Rfam family "Bacterial small subunit ribosomal RNA", at positions 28 to 523 of the family's 1533-position model. The record is from RNAcentral.
GAUGAACGCUGGCGGCGUGCCUAAUACAUGCAAGUCGAGCGGUAAGGCCCCUUCGGGGGUACACGAGCGGCGGACGGCUGAGUAACGCGUAGGAACGUACCCCAAAGUGAGGGAUAAGCACCAGAAAUGGUGUCUAAUACCGCAUGUGAUCUUCGGAUUAAAGCUUCGGCGCUUUGGGAACGGCCUGCGUCCGAUUAGCUAGUUGGUAGUGUAAAAGACUACCAAGGCGACGAUCGGUAGCUGGUCUGAGAGGAUGAUCAGCCAGACUGGGACUGAGACACGGCCCAGACUCCUACGGGAGGCAGCAGUAGGGAAUUUUCCACAAUGGGCGAAAGCCUGAUGGAGCAACGCCGCGUGCAGGAUGAAUGCCUUCGGGUUGUAAACUGCUUUUAUGUGUGACGAUUAUGACGGUAACACAUGAAUAAGGACCUGCUAACUACGUGCCAGCAGCCGCAGUAA